Molecule: ribosomal RNA, 1374 nt
Filed under: metagenome
Description: bacterial LSU rRNA
Rfam family: Bacterial large subunit ribosomal RNA
Source: RNAcentral
CGGGUGAAAGGCUAAACAAACUUGGAAAUAGCUGGUUCUCUCCGAAAACUAUUUAGGUAGUGCCUCAAGUACUACCAUCGGGGGUAGAGCACUGUUAUGGCUAGGGGGUCAUGGCGACUUACCAAACCAUUGCAAACUCCGAAUACCGAUGAGUACAGCUUGGGAGACAGAGCACCGGGUGCUAACGUCCGGACUCAAGAGGGAAACAACCCAGACCGCCAGCUAAGGUCCCCAAAAUUGGCUAAGUGGGAAACGAAGUGGGAAGGCUAAAACAGUCAGCAUGUUGGCUUAGAAGCAGCCAUCAUUUAAAGAAAGCGUAAUAGCUCACUGAUCGAGUCGUCCUGCGCGGAAGAUGUAACGGGGCUAAGCCAGUUACCGAAGCUGCGGAUGUGCAAUUUAUUGCAUGUGGUAGGAGAGCGUUCUGUAAGCCUGUGAAGGUGGCUUGUGAAGGCUGCUGGAGGUAUCAGAAGUGCGAAUGCUGACAUGAGUAGCGUUAAAGGGGGUGAAAAGCCCCCUCGCCGAAAGCGCAAGGUUUCCUACGCAACGUUCAUCGGCGUAGGGUGAGUCGGCCCCUAAGGCGAGGCAGAGAUGCGUAGCUGAUGGGAAACAGGUCAAUAUUCCUGUACCGAUUGCAAGUGCGAUGUGGGGACGGAGAAGGUUAGCUCAGCCAACUGUUGGAUAUGUUGGUUCAAGCGUGUAGUCGUGUCUCUUAGGCAAAUCCGGGAGAAUUAGAUGAGGCGUGAUAACGAGUCUGCUUGCAGACGAAGUGAGUGAUACCCUGCUUCCAAGAAAAGCCACUAAGCUUCAGCUUGUAAUUGACCGUACCGCAAACCGACACUGGUGCGCGAGAUGAGUAUUCUAAGGCGCUUGAGAGAACUCUGGAGAAGGAACUCGGCAAAUUGACACCGUAACUUCGGAAGAAGGUGUGCCUUUAGUAGGUGAACCAUUUACUUGGGGAGCCCAAUGAGGCCGCAGAGAAUCGGUGGCUGCAACUGUUUAUUAAAAACACAGCACUCUGCAAAGACGAAAGUCGACGUAUAGGGUGUGACUCCUGCCCGGUGCUGGAAGGUUAAAUGAUGGGGUGCAAGCUCUUGACUGAAGUCCCAGUAAACGGCGGCCGUAACUAUAACGGUCCUAAGGUAGCGAAAUUCCUUGUCGGGUAAGUUCCGACCUGCACGAAUGGAGUAAUGAUGGCCACACUGUCUCCUCCAGAGACUCAGCGAAGUUGAAAUGUUUGUGAUGAUGCAAUCUCCCCGCGGAAAGACGGAAAGACCCCAUGAACCUUUACUGUAGCUUUACAUUGGACUUUGAACAGAUCUGUGUAGGAUAGGUGGGAGGCUUUGAAGAGUGGACGCUAGUUUGCUUGGAGCCAGC